GACGAACGCUGGCGGCGCGCUUAACACAUGCAAGUCGAACGGAAAGGCCUGCUUUCCCUUGUGGAUUGCGGGUACUCGAGUGGCGAACGGGUGAGUAACACGUGAGUGAUCUGCCCCCAACUUGGGUAUAAGCCUGGGAAACUGGGUCUAAUUCCCGAUAGGACUGCAGGGUGGUGCCUGUGGUGGAAAACGAUUUUCUAGUGGUUGGGGAUGAGCUCGCGGCCUAUCAGCUUGUUGGUGGGGUAAUGGCCUACCAAGGCGGCGACGGGUAGCCGGCCUGAGAGGGUGGACGGCCACAUUGGGACUGAGAUACGGCCCAGACUCCUACGGGAGGCAGCAGUGGGGAAUAUUGCACAAUGGGCGGAAGCCUGAUGCAGCGACGCCGCGUGGGGGAUGACGGCCUUCGGGUUGUAAACUCCUUUCGACCGCGAGGAAGCCACCUAGUUGGAAGGGUGGUGACGGUAGUGGUAGAAGAAGCACCGGCUAACUACGUG
RNAcentral lists this ribosomal RNA (494 nucleotides) under uncultured bacterium. RNAcentral's name for it is "partial 16S ribosomal RNA". It matches the Rfam family "Bacterial small subunit ribosomal RNA", at positions 28 to 507 of the family's 1533-position model. The record is from RNAcentral.